This 497-nucleotide ribosomal RNA is filed under the name uncultured bacterium. Its description in RNAcentral is "partial 16S ribosomal RNA". It matches the Rfam family "Bacterial small subunit ribosomal RNA", at positions 28 to 507 of the family's 1533-position model. The record is from RNAcentral.
GAUGAACGCUGGCGGCGUGCCUAAUACAUGCAAGUCGAGCGAACAGACGAGGAGCUUGCUCCUCUGACGUUAGCGGCGGACGGGUGAGUAACACGUGGAUAACCUACCUAUAAGACUGGGAUAACUUCGGGAAACCGGAGCUAAUACCGGAUAAUAUAUUGAACCGCAUGGUUCAAUAGUGAAAGACGGUUUUGCUGUCACUUAUAGAUGGAUCCGCGCCGCAUUAGCUAGUUGGUAAGGUAACGGCUUACCAAGGCAACGAUGCGUAGCCGACCUGAGAGGGUGAUCGGCCACACUGGAACUGAGACACGGUCCAGACUCCUACGGGAGGCAGCAGUAGGGAAUCUUCCGCAAUGGGCGAAAGCCUGACGCAGCAACGCCGCGUGAGUGAUGAAGGUCUUCGGAUCGUAAAGCUCUGUUAUUAGGGAAGAACAAAUGUGUAAGUAACUAUGCACGUCUUGACGGUACCUAAUCAGAAAGCCCCGGCUAACUACGUG